GACGAACGCUGGCGGCGUGCUUAACACAUGCAAGUCGAACGGAAAGGCCCUGCUUUUGUGGGGUGCUCGAGUGGCGAACGGGUGAGUAACACGUGAGUAACCUGCCCUUGACUUUGGGAUAACUUCAGGAAACUGGGGCUAAUACCGGAUAGGAGCUCCUGCUGCAUGGUGGGGGUUGGAACGUUGCGGCGGUUGGGGAUGGACUCGCGGGUUAUCAGCUUGUUGGUGGGGUAGUGGCUUACCAAGGCUUUGACGGGUAGCCGGCCUGAGAGGGUGACCGGCGACAUGGGGACUGAGAGAGGGCGCAGACGCGUACGGGAGGCAGCAGUGGGGAAUAUUGCACAAUGGGCGGAAGCCUGAUGCAGCAACGCCGCGUGCGGGAUGACGGCCUUCGGGGUGUGAACCGCUUUCGCCUGUGACGAAGCGUGAGUGACGGUAAUGGGUAAAGAAGCACCGGCUAACUACGUG
This 468-nucleotide ribosomal RNA is filed under the name uncultured bacterium. Its description in RNAcentral is "partial 16S ribosomal RNA". It matches the Rfam family "Bacterial small subunit ribosomal RNA", at positions 28 to 507 of the family's 1533-position model. The record is from RNAcentral.